This 550-nucleotide ribosomal RNA is filed under the name uncultured bacterium. Its description in RNAcentral is "bacterial SSU rRNA". It matches the Rfam family "Bacterial small subunit ribosomal RNA", at positions 355 to 896 of the family's 1533-position model. The record is from RNAcentral.
UAGGGAAUCUUCCACAAUGGGCGCAAGCCUGAUGGAGCAACACCGCGUGAGUGAAGAAGGGUUUCGGCUCGUAAAGCUCUGUUGUUAAAGAAGAACACGUAUGAGAUUAACUGUUCAUACGUUGACGGUAUUUAACCAGAAAGUCACGGCUAACUACGUGCCAGCAGCCGCGGUAAUACGUAGGUGGCAAGCGUUAUCCGGAUUUAUUGGGCGUAAAGAGAGUGCAGGCGGUCUUCUAAGUCUGAUGUGAAAGCCUUCGGCUUAACCGGAGAAGUGCAUCGGAAACUGGAUAACUUGAGUGCAGAAGAGGGUAGUGGAACUCCAUGUGUAGCGGUGGAAUGCGUAGAUAUAUGGAAGAACACCAGUGGCGAAGGCGGCUACCUGGUCUGCAACUGACGCUGAGACUCGAAAGCAUGGGUAGCGAACAGGAUUAGAUACCCUGGUAGUCCAUGCCGUAAACGAUGAGUGCUAGGUGUUGGAGGGUUUCCGCCCUUCAGUGCCGGAGCUAACGCAUUAAGCACUCCGCCUGGGGAGUACGACCGCAAGGUUG